GAAAGCAGGGGAUCGUAAGACCUUGCGCUUUUGGAGCGGCCGAUGUCUGAUUAGCUAGUUGGUGGGGUAAUGGCCUACCAAAGCUUCGAUCAGUAGCUGGUCUGAGAGGACGGCCAGCCACACUGGGACUGAGACACGGCCCAGACUCCUACGGGAGGCAGCAGUGGGGAAUUUUGGACAAUGGGCGCAAGCCUGAUCCAGCCAUGCCGCGUGAGUGAAGAAGGCCUUCGGGUUGUAAAGCUCUUUCAGCCGGGAAGAAAAGGCUGCGACUAAUAAUCGCAGUUCAUGACGGUACCGGAAGAAGAAGCACCGGCUAACUACGUGCCAGCAGCCGCGGUAAUACGUAGGGUGCGAGCGUUAAUCGGAAUUACUGGGCGUAAAGGGUGCGCAGGCGGUUUUGUAAGUCAGAUGUGGAAUCCCCGGGCUUAACCUGGGAACUGCGUUUGAAACUACAAAGCUAGA
Molecule: ribosomal RNA, 462 nt
Filed under: uncultured beta proteobacterium
Lineage: Bacteria; Pseudomonadati; Pseudomonadota; Betaproteobacteria
Description: bacterial SSU rRNA
Rfam family: Bacterial small subunit ribosomal RNA
Source: RNAcentral